This 497-nucleotide ribosomal RNA is filed under the name uncultured bacterium. RNAcentral's name for it is "partial 16S ribosomal RNA". It matches the Rfam family "Bacterial small subunit ribosomal RNA", at positions 28 to 507 of the family's 1533-position model. The record is from RNAcentral.
GAUGAACGCUGGCGGCGUGCCUAAUACAUGCAAGUCGAGCGAACAGACGAGGAGCUUGCUCCUUUGACGUUAGCGGCGGACGGGUGAGUAACACGUGGGUAACCUACCUAUAAGACUGGGAUAACUUCGGGAAACCGGAGCUAAUACCGGAUAAUAUUUCGAACCGCAUGGUUCGAUAGUGAAAGAUGGCUUUGCUAUCACUUAUAGCUGGACCUGCGCCGUAUUAGCUAGUUGGUAAGGUAACGGCUUACCAAGGCAACGAUACGUAGCCGACCUGAGAGGGUGAUCGGCCACACUGGAACUGAGACACGGUCCAGACUCCUACGGGAGGCAGCAGUAGGGAAUCUUCCGCAAUGGGCGAAAGCCUGACGGAGCAACGCCGCGUGAGUGAUGAAGGUCUUCGGAUCGUAAAACUCUGUUAUUAGGGAAGAAUAAACGUGUAAGUAACUGUGCACGUCUUGACGGUACCUAAUCAGAAAGCCACGGCUAACUACGUG